UCUCCUGUACCCUUUGCGAGGACAGUGAUCCUGUACCCCUAUGGAUGUGCUUGUACUGAUGCAGGAGCAUAUACUUCAAUUCCAGGUUCUUUCUUUCAAGCUCGGGCUAUCAAACUCAUGCUUAUGAUUGAUCAGGGUGAGAAAGAUGACAAGAUAAUAGCAGU
Molecule: long non-coding RNA, 164 nt
Organism: Chenopodium quinoa (quinoa)
Lineage: Eukaryota; Viridiplantae; Streptophyta; Magnoliopsida; Caryophyllales; Amaranthaceae
Exons: 3
Source: RefSeq, a predicted model, not a curated record